CAAUGACAAAUCUUGGAGGUUAUUCUGUUCUAAAGACAGUUAUCAAUUUGUACACAACAAAGUCAGCACUCAUGUCUCAGGUCCUCAGUCCUCCACAGUAGGAGUGUACCUGGAUCACAGAGAAGGUAUUCUGUCCUUCUACAGCGUCUCUGAAACCAUGACUCUCCUCCACAGAGUCCAGACCACAUUCACUGAACCUCUACAUGCUGGACUGAUGUUACCCUGGUAUUUCACAUUCUGGUCUUAUCAAGCCUCUGCUGAGUUUAUUAAACUGAAAUAAAGAGAAUUUUGAGUCCAUCAGACCAAAAUCAUGGACUGAGAUCCUUGAACUCUUGAAAUGUUCUGGUUUGUAAAUGUUUGUGGAUCAGUCUCACCAAAAACUCUGGGUUUAGUUCUUCAUUUCAGCUUUUUGAUUCUUUUCUAAAGAUGCUGAUUUGGUCGCAGCUUUAAGGACAGUGAUUGUGGAGAACUUUGAUUGUUUGUAUUUCUCAUUUUCUCAUUUUGAUAUCAACAACAUCAAGAUGAUUCUUUGUUUAAAUCACCUUCAGUUGGUGCAGAUGUUGAAGGUCUGAGACUUUAGAAAAAAGUGACGUCAAAAUGAGGAAAGAAAGAUGAAAAAGGACAACCUUAUUUCCUGUCCCAAAUCCAAGCGUCUAAAGUCUUUCCAGUCUGCUCCAAAAGCUCUUCAGAUGAUCUGUUUCUUUCUCUGUUUGCUGAAUAUUUGUGUUCAUGUGAUCGAUGGAUAUUUCUGUCUGCUUCUGUUGGAUCAGUGUGUUUGUAAAGACAUCAAUAAUGAGACUUUUGUAAGAUCAACAUGUUGUUAUGAGCUUUUUAAUCACUUUUAUAUUAAUCACAUUCAUUAGUCCGACUGUUUUUAUGUUUCUGAUUCAGCUCAGAUUGUGGUCAAGUCUCUGAUUGUGGGUGAAAACAAUAAAAAUCAUCAAACUGAGUCACUGAAAUCACCUCGUCUGUUUUUCUUUAUUGUGUCUGUUUCUGCUGGAUGUCAUGUUACAGGUCUGUCUGGGUCAUGGAUUCAUGUGGUCUGCAGGAUUUCCAUGAUGUGGUCACUUACAGGUGUUACAGGUCCCAGAUGUUGGUCCUGCAGCUGGAUCAGGUUUUCUGUAAGUAAGAGGAAAAUCAUGACAGAGAUAUAAGGUGUAUAUGUCAAGACUUAUAUUAUUUAAUGAUUAUCUGUAGCCCUGAGUAGUUUAUUUAAGAGUUUUGUAGCGCUGCAUUUUAUUUUGAAAAGUCCGCGGACUUCCGGUGUUACUUACCAGUGUUAAGGCUUUGGUGCGCGAAGCUUUGAAUUGAAUGAAUGAAUGGAUGUGAGGCCGUGUGUUUGUGAAAACAUACAGAAAUGGUGAAGUUAUUAAAAUGGUGUUUGUCUUUAAGACACAGUUGCAGCGUCAAAAAGGAGAAGAGGACAUAAAUUAUGGAGAGGGUUGUGAUGUGAAUGUGCUUGUGUUACUUAGUUUGUUAUUCGUACUUCUUUUCGGGGACAACAUGUAAAACAUAAACAUUUCACUUAUAUUUAUUUAUAUUUAAAAACAACUUUUCAACAAGUCUCGAGUCCAUGCAUUGUGAGCGGGGGAGGACUCCAUUGCGUUUCGCUGCCUGUUAAAUCAUCCGCCAAACCCGUGAAUCAGUCACGUGGUACAGCCGGGCAGCGAGGCUUCGGACGUCAUCAUUUUUGGCUCCACCCCUACAUGAAGCAAGACUUAAUGCGCUCUUCGCGGAAACACCCCAUUCAUUCCUCGACACUGAAGGACGCGCAUCACUACUCAUCACGGCAGCUGUGUCCGAGUUUGGCAGAAGCGAACAGUCCAUUGGUAAGAAAUAACCUGCUAACAAUGUGUAGCCUCUGAAUAUAUAACGUGUUGGUGCUAAUUUCAUUGUCCUGGGAGAGUAAUAAGAGAAUGUUGAAAUAGAGAGUGUAAUUAAACGGCCGUGGUUAGCAUUUGAUUAGCGCCGCUAGCUUCCGUUAGCAUUUUCGCUAGCUCCCGAUUAGCAUGAAAGGCUGACUUUAUAAGCAUUCUUACGCCUGGUUCACACAGGAAGCGCCGCGCGCAGCGCCGGCUCGCGCUUGGCUCUUCACACAGGAAGCGCUUUCUGCUGCGCUCUGACACGCCGGUCAGACAUCGACUGAGCCCGGCAGUGCUCGGCCGUUUCCGUCUGCCCCCAGUUUUCCACACUUACGAGCGCUUUAAAAAUGGGUUUAUCAAUAUUUAUUUAUGUUUUUAUUUCGUCAUACAUAAAUUAAAUAUUGGCAGCAUCUUCAAGUAUUGUUUAAAAUUAUUAUAUAGGGGUGUGUGUGUUCAUCGGUAAAAAAAAAUAGACCGACAAGCAACACCGUAAAUCCUUUUCUAAUUUAUUGAAAUUUACUUUAUUUUGAAAAUUAACCGGAUUCUCUCGCAUCUCCUUCCUGACUUCCUGUCUGGUCCGAUCUGCUCUGUUGAGCUUUACAUCGGCGCGCGCGGCUCGCGCCAAAAAUAGAGAGAAGCGGAGCAGCCGCGCUCCAGAGCGCGAGCCGUUCCGCGCGCAAGCUGUGUGAACAGUCUCAUAGGUUAACAUGGGCGCCGAUCUGAAACUCUGUGCGCGGCGCUUCCGUUCCGCGCGCGGCGCUUCCAGUGUGAACCAGGCGUUAGCUAGCGCUUAGCUGGCUGUUGUUAGCAUUUAACUUGUAAAGUAAGCUGCUACUGUUGGUACUAUGACACUGUGUUUAACCAGUAAGGUUCACUGUGUUUAUUGCAGUUCAUUACUUUAAUUCAUUUGAAGACAUUUGACUGAUUCAUAUUUUAAAAAAAAUCAUUUUUUUAUCUAAAGUAAAAAGUAUCGUACAGAGUAAAAAUAGCUACUUUAAAGUUAGAAGUUCAUGAAUACAGGGCUCUCAAGUUUUGAACUAAGCUAAGAGUGAGAUUUCCUUUGGGGGGGGGGGUUGAAGAGUGAUUGAAGAUAAUUAUUACUACAAUAAUCUCUUAAAAACAACGGAGUAUGAGGAACACAUUAAGAAAAAAAAACGUUUUUAAAUCUUCGUGAAUAAAGUUAUUGAGAAGAAUAAAGUCAUUAAUUUAUAAGAAUUAAGUCGUAAAGUUACCUGUUGUGGAGGAGAGUUGUUAAAAUCAGCACUGAGGAGCAUUUAGAUGAAUUGUACUUCAGUAUAGGUUUCACAAACAUGGAGAUACUUAAUCUUUUGGUACAUGAGCGUUACACUGUCAUGAGUAUCAGAACUUUGAAAAAAAUAUAUGAGAAUUGCUGCUUCUGUCUCUGAUUGUGGGUGAAAACAAUAAAAAUCAUCAAACUGAGUCACUGAAAGAACCUCGCCGGUUUUUCUUGAUAGUUUAGUGUAAGGUCAGUUAGCCCAGACUGAAUGACCUGGAGGUUAGACAUCAUGCUGCCCAAAAAGCAUAAAUCAAGGAAUAAGUCAUAACGAGUCAUCAACUUUUUACUGUGAAACUGAGACCUACUGAAACGUAAACUUCUGGGGUUCAUGUCGCUGAAGUUAGCCAGAGGGAUUUCUCCAUUUAAACUAAGUCUCAGUUUUUUACUGUUUGUUUUUCGGACUCAUUUGUUCAUGGGGACUUCUCAGUUUGCUGACUGGACUUUAAAUGGUGCAGCUCAGAGAAAUGAAAGUCUUGACUGGUGAUUUUCUUAGUAUCAGAAGAAGAGAGAGAGGAAAGAAAAAGAAAGAGGGCAGAAUGAGGGGAGGCAGCUGUUGACUACUUUCUUUCCCAAAGGUGAACCCAGUUUGUUUGUUCUGUAAAGUCCAGUUCAAGUUAAUGUAGGACUCUCAACUUCACAUCGCCGCUCCUCUUCCCCUCCCUCGUCUCUCACACAGCUCACGCCACUCUGCACUCUCACUUUCUUGUUCUCUUCUCUUUCUCUCCCCUUCAGAUCUACACUUUGAGGACGGGUGUAACCAGGGUGUGCUGAGCUGAUAUCCUGCUGAUACACACGUCGUUGAGACCAGAGCUUUAAAUAGUUUCACUUUUUACAGGAAAUAAAACUCAGUCAGUCGUCGACAGCGAGUGUUGAAAUGGCGCAGGAAGGAGUUCAUCUGGACCGUGAGUCUUUCUCUUGUUCCAUCUGUUUGGAUCUUCUGAAGGAUCCGGUGACUGUUUCCUGUGGACACAGCUUCUGCAUGAGCUGUAUUCACUCCUACUGGGAUACUGAGGAUGAGAGGAUGGUCUACAGCUGUCCUCAGUGCAGAGAGACCUUUUUCAUCAGGCCUGUCCUGAUGAAAAACACCAUGUUAGCAGGUUUAGUGGAGGAAGUGAAGAGGAGUGGACUCCAAGCUGCUCCUGAUGGUUCCUCUGAGGCUGGACCUGAAGAUGUGGCCUGUGAUUCCUGCAGUGGGAGAAAACGGAAAGCUGUCAAGUCCUGUCUGCGAUGUCUGGUUUCUUACUGUCAGAUUCACCUCCAGCCUCAUUUUGAAUCACCUCCAUUUAAGAAACACAAGCUGGUGGAGCCCUCCAAGAAGCUCCAGGAGAACAUCUGCUCUGAUCAUGAUGAGGUGAUGAAGAUCUUCUGCCGCACUGACCGGAAGUCUAUCUGUUCUAUCUGCCGUUUGGACCAACACAAAGACCACGACACAGUCUUAGCUGCAGCAGAAAGGACUGAGAGGCAGAAAGAUCUGGAGGAGAGUCGAGAAAACAUCCAGCAGAGAAUCAAGGACAGAGAAGAAGAUGUGAAGCUUCUCCAACAGGAGGUGGAGACUAUCAACGGCUCUGCUGAUAAAGCUGUGGAGCACAGCCAGAAGAUCUUCACCCAGCUUAUCCGUCUCAUAGUGAAACGCCACUCUGACAUGGCGAAGCAGGUCAGAUCCCAGCAGGAACGUGAAGUGAGUCGAGUCAAAGAACUUCAGGAGAAGAUGGAACAGGAGAUCACUGAGCUGAAGAGGAAAGAUGCUGAUCUGCAGACACUCUCACUCACAGAGGACCACAACCAGUUUCUGCACAGCUACCCCUCACUGUCAGAACCGGGUCAACCUGCAGACUCAUCCAGGAUCAACAUCCGUCCUCAGAGAUACUUUGAGGAGGUGACAGCAGCUGUGUCAGAGGUUAGUGAUAAACUCCAGGAUCUUCUGACAAAGAUGUGGACAAACGUCUCACAGGCAGUGACUGAAGUGGAUGUUUUACUGUUAGAACCAGAACCCAAGACCAGAGCUGAUUUCCUAAGAUAUUCACGAAGAAUCACACUGGAUCCAAACACAGCAAACAGAUAUCUGAUAUUAUCUAAAGGAAACAGAAAAGCAACAUUAACAAGACAACGACAGUCUUAUCCUGAUCAUCCAGACAGAUUCACUUAUUAUGAUCAGGUCCUGAGUAGAGAGAGUCUGACUGGACGUUGUUACUGGGAGGUGGACUGGAGAGGGAACAGGGUAAGUGUAGCAGUCGCAUACAAGACGAUCAGCAGAGACGGGGACUCAGAUGAUUGUUUAUUUGGAGGAAAUGACAAAUCUUGGACGUUAGACUGCUCUAAAGACAUUUAUCAAUUUGUUCACAACGAAGUCCUCACUGAUGUCUCAGGUCCUCUGUCCUCCAGAGUAGGAGUGUACCUGGAUCACAGAGCAGGUAUUCUGUCCUUCUACAGCGUCUCUGAAACCAUGACUCUCCUCCACAGAGUCCAGACCACAUUCACUGAGCCGCUAUAUGCUGGACUGUUUUUCCUGUCUUUUAAGCACCGGUCUGUUGGAGCCUCUGCUAAGUUUAUUGAACCCAAAUAAAGAGAAUUUUGAGUCCAUCAGACCAAAAACAUGUAAUGAGAUCAUUGAACACUUGAAAUGUUCUGGUUUGUAAAUGUUUGUGGAUCAGUCUCACCAGAAACUUUCGGUUUAGUUCUUCAUUUCAGCUUUUUCAUUCUUUUGUAGCAAUCAAGACAACCCUGGGUGUGAAACUCACACAUUCCUCACAGGAAAGUUUCCUUAUCUGGUCCCUCGGUCGUAAAACCCUGCUCAACCAUGUUCUGAUAAAAAACUGCAUUCCUUUGAUGAAAGAAUACAAAUGACUGAUCAUGACAUCUUAUGUAUUCAGCAAUGUACUAAUCUGUCCAAUCAUGAAAUUUGUGUUAAAAUGAGAUGUUUCUCAUUGUUCUAUGUGCUCCAGAAGCUGAGUUAUCACUCUGACAGAAUAAUUCCUUUGUUCUUUAGUUUCUUUAGACCAACAGCUUUUCAGACUGUUUCCUCAACUUUUAAGAGUUACAUUUAUUGACUAUGGAUCAUAAGUUUCCUCUAAGUAACAGAAAUAGUUUAGAAAUGUUUGGUUUAUAUUUUAGUUGUUUAUUUAGUAUUUUUAACCAUUAGGUGGUUAUAAUGUCAUUGAAUAAUCUGAAUGUGAGUAUUUAGAAUCCAUUAGUAAUCACGAUGAAGUUCAUUCACAUGUAUUUACUCUUUUGUUGUUCACAGUUUCCAUGUGUUACUCUCUGUUUCAUUUCAGAGUAAUUUAGCAUGUUUAAUGUGAUACUUGAAACAUAAUGAGAAUGUUUGAUGUGAUCCUACAUUUCUUUAUAUGUGUUUAGUAUCAAAUUAUUUAUCAUGAAACCAAGCAUUCAAUGAUAUUAAUCAUAGUGAGUGAGUAUCAGAUCUGACUCUUUUACCAGCCAAAAGUAUAUGUUAGAUCAAAUAAUCAGAGAUCUGAGGUCUCCUCUGCUUGGAGACCCCACGACCCCUCCUCUUUCUCUUCACACACACACGCCAGAGACACUCCCAGUGUGAGAAGAUAAAACCAGAAAGGGGGGGGGUGCUCACGUUGCUUGUUCCCUUUGUACUCUUGUUGCCUCUCUUCUAUUUUUGCUUUUCUACUCUUAAGUUUUCGUUUAGCUUUUACUACUUAGUCUUACUUUUUCUUAGUCUUCUAAGUUUUGCGUUGAUUCACGUUGAUUUUCUUUAACAUCGUCUUCGUUCAAGUUUUGAAACUUCAACUUUUUGUGCGCAUAGCAAUUCAAGAUUAAGCCUUUGAUUGAUUUUUCUUUAAUUUCGCGAAGCCAUUUUUGAAAGUUUUCUCUGGUCAUCGAGCCUCGUUUUUCUGAGUUAUCUGCGAGAUUUCAAAGUCACCUCUGAACACAACCCAGCAGGCCCGGGUCAUCCUCUGCGCCAGAGUUUUUGAGUGAGACCAAAGAAGCAUCCAAACGAGCAUCCACAGGAUCCACAGGCGCCGGCUUUACUUCAGGCCCGAGUGCUACGACUCCUGGCCCAUCCUUCGGCUGACUUCGGCCGGUAGCCCGGACCUUCGGAACCUGCUCCAUCUUCUCCAAGGACCAGUCUUACUUAAGUAUGCAGACCUCCAGAGCUCCAAAGAGGGCUGAUGCUGUCUCAUGCGGUCAUAACUCAGAUAUCCACUUAUUCUGGUAAUCUUGGAUUCCUCCAAAUCCACAUCCAAAUUUACCUUGACACCAAAGAUAGUGUAGGUUAAUAUGUUCGAGCAUAUUCACUCACUAUCAUUAACUUUAGUGCUCCUAGCCUGACUUAGAAUCUUUAUUUGUUCACCUAUUAUUUUUUAUCCUCAUUAUCUUAUCAUUUAUUGCAUGUGUGUUGUACCAUCAUUUAUCCUGUAUUAAACAUCAUUAUUUCUAAGUUCUGGUCUUUUAGUGUUCUUCCAGAAGUGGAGUCCCUGAAAUGAGAAUCUCAGCUCAAGGUAUGAGAUUGAUUAAUUUAAGAUUUGACUUGAUGUUUGAUUUCUGAAUUAAACUUUAGUUUUCUUUAUUUUUCCACCAUUAAGGGUGGGUGGUGCCUCUUUCAACGAGUGCAUAAAUGUCAUAACUUGAGAUUAUUAAUCCUCAGACAUUUAUUAUAAAUUCAAAUCGCUACACUUUUCUAAAGAUGCUGAUUUGGUCGCAGCUUUAAGGACAGUGAUUGUGGAUAACUGAUUGUAUUUCUCAUUUUGAAAAAUCUUCAUGAAUUUUGAUAUCAACAACAUCAAGAUGAUCGUUUGUUCAAAUCACCUUCAGUUGGUGCAGAUGUUGAAGGUCUGAGACUUUAGAAAAAACUGACGUCAAAAUAUUGAAAGAAAGAUAAAAAAGGACGACCUUAUUUCCUGUCCCAAAUCCAAGCGUCUAAAGUCUUUCCAGUCGUCCCCAAAAACUCUUCAGAUGAUCUGUUUCUUUCUCUGUUUGCUGAAUAUUUGUGUUCAUGUGAUCGAUGGAUAUUUCUGUCUGCUUCUGUUGGAUCAGUGUGUUUGUAAAGACAUCUAGAAUGAGACUUUUAGCAGAUCAACAUGUUAUGAGCUUUCUAAUCACUUUUAUAAUAAUCACAUAUAUUAGUCCGACUGUUUUUCUGUUUCUGACUCAGCUCAGAUUGUGGGUGAAAACAAUAAAAAUCAUCAAGUUGAGUCACUGAAAGCACCUAACCUGUUUUUCUUUAUUUGGUCUGUUUCUGCUGGAUGUCAUGUUACAGGUCUUUCUGGGUCAUGGAUUCAUGUGGUCUGCAGGAUUUCCAUGAUGUGGUCACUCACAGGUGUUACAGGUCCUAGAUGUGGGUCCUGCAGCUGGAUCAGGUUUUCUGUAAGUAAGAGUAAUAAUCUUGAAAGAGAUUUAAGGUGUAUAUAUCAAGACAAGCAUUAUUAAAUCAUUAUUUGUUGCUCUGAGUAGUUUAAGAGUUUUGUAGCUCUGCAUUUUAUUUUGAAAGGUCCGCGGACUUCCGGUGUUACUUGUCACGACAGUUGUGUCCGAGUUUGGCAGAAGCGAACAGUCCAUUGGUAAGAAAUAACCUGCUAACAAUGUGUAGCCUCUGAAUAUAUAACGCUUUGGUGCCUAUUUCAUUGUCCUUGGAGAGAAAUAAGAGAAUGUUGAAUUAGAGAGUGUAAUUAAGUGUCCGUGGUUAGCAUUUGAUUAGCGCCGCUAGCUUCCGUUAGCAUUUUCUCUAGCUCCCUAUUAGCAUGCAAGGCUAACUCCAUUAGCAUUACAAGCUAGCGCUUAGCUGGCUGUUAUUAGCAUUUAGCUUGUAAUGUAAGCUGCUACUGUUGGUACUGUGAUACUGUGUUUAACCAGUUAGGUUCACUGUGUUUAUUGCAGUUAUACAUAAAAUGAGACCAUGAGGACCAGAAUAAAAACAUAAAAUAGGUAAGAAUAAGAAAUGUAUUAAAAAGGGGGGUUAAAAGCAGGAUACAGGGUAGUAAAUAUAAAAAGACAAUCUUAAUAAUGAUAAUAAAAUAACAAAAUAAUAUGAUCAUAAUAGUAAUGAUAAAAUAGAAUAAUAAAAAUGAGCAAGAAAAAAAACUAUCAAUAUAAGGCCUGAUAGGUUAAAUAAGAAAAGAUUAUAAGUAUAACAAAGGCUGAAAAGACAGUUAGCAAAAAUAAGAUUGCGGUAAAAGAGAAAAGACCUGUGUCACCUGUGUGGUCAAAAAAUAAAAGAAGUCCAAGAACAAAACAUUAGUUGUACCUUGAGUGUGCUUCCUGUCAAGCCUUUUCGGAGGGCUGAGUAUUUAAAAUCCGAUCAGUAUAUCGAUGUGUGUGAGUGCUGAUUGAGUUGAAGUUAAACUGCACUUUAAGUUUCAUAUCUUCUUUAACAGAUCACAACAUGACAGCAUCUUAAAACAGACUGAAUACAAACACAUAUACUGAACGCUCCUCUCUUAAGGAUUAAACAGGACAAAGCACCACCUGGCAGACAUUCUUCUGAGGGAAAGUGAACAACAUGAGAAACUGCAAAAAUAAUUUUAGAGAAUUCAGAAACAUAACAUGACACCCAAGAACAUGCAACAAAAUACAAACCUGCCUCAUUAGACACACAUACACAGAAAUAUGACACUAGUUGGAAGUGUUUCAGUGAUCCAUGAGGUGAAUAAAUGUUGGUUCAGUUGAUCUUCAGGACCGCUGCAGCUUUAAUAACCUCUGCAUGUUGGAGUUUGAGAGUCUUCCUCUUGUUCCGUUUCUUCUUCUUCUUCUUUAUUUAUCUCAAACUUUAAGAACUACAACAACAAAAAACAACUAGAAACAAAAACACCAAACAAAAUAAUAAAUAUGUACACCAAACAACUGUACAUGUCAAAGAUAAAUUAACACAACAUAUGUAUUAAGGCUGCACGAUAUUGGAAAAAAAUAAUAUUGCGAUUUUUUCAACCCUGCGAUAUAUAUUGCGAUAUUAAAAAUACAGUAUUUUCACCAGAUGACCUGAAUAGCACUUAAUGUCAUGCUGCACUGCUGAAAUCUUGAGGACAGUUAAUCUGCUCUGAUCUUACCUCUUUUUGUGAAUGUUAGUAGAACGGCUUCUGUCUGUCUCAGAGAUAUUUUUAGCUUUUAUUGUGCUGGGACGUUAUUGUGGAAACAGAUGAACACAGAAGACGUGUUUUGGUCGACAUCAUCCUUUUUUAACCGAAAUAAUUUAAGAUAACUGACUUUCCUUUUCUUUUUGGCAACAAAUCUUCAUUUUCGGUGGUUUUCGCUUGUUCGUUGUUCAUUUUGCGAUCGUUGUUGUUGUUGUUAGCGGUGCUGUACCGAGAAACGCAUGUACUCCGAGAAUUGCAUGCACCUCGCAAAACGCGCACUGCUUAUAGUAGAGUGAUUCACGGAAAUGUACAAUUUAAAACCCAUACAGUUCUUAUUUGUUGGGCUUAAUAGUCAUGAGUAAAGUUCCGAAAGUAAUUCUCAGCGGACACGCGUCUCCCUCCAUGUGCAGAACAUGUGCAGGGGUGGGUUUUCUCCUCCCUGAUUUUGAUUGACAGCUGGCAGGGUAGUCUGAUUGGCAGCUGAGAAGUGAGUCUGACUGGCAACUGAGUUAAGGACGAAGGCGAUUGGUGGAUCGCUGCACAGCACAUGCAGAGUCACAUGGAGUGUAUCUCAGUCGGUUACUCUUGAAAUUAAAUGAGUUCAUUCACCUCCAAUAUCGCAGGCUCUGCGAUGUGACUAUCGCACACACGUACAUCGCGAUGACGAUAGUCAAACGAUAUAUCGUUCAGGCCUAAUAUGUAUGUCAAAAUGUACAGUUUGGGAAGGAACAGAAUGAAGCAAAGACUUAAUCUAGUCCUGCCUCUUCCUAGCAAAUUAGAAAUUAAAAAAAAAGAAAAAAUCUAUUUUAAUAAAUUACAAAGAUCUGUAUAAAUACCUACAUUUUAUACACCAAGUGUAUAAAGUUAAAUCAAUAGUCUAAUAAACAACAAACAACUUACCUUGGUGCAGAUAAAGGUAUUCUUCGUAACGUUCCUCAGGUAACGCUGGUUAUGUGGCCGGCCACAUAACUUAUACACAGCAUGCACUUUUCCAAGGCACGCUUCGGCUUCAGAAGAGGAAUAAAAAAUGCCCCAUUCAAACGCUCUGGGUACCUAGUGUCGCUGUUGCAGGUCCCCCAGCAGCAACGUUUCACCAUGGUGGUAAUAUAAUAUGAAUCUUCUUGAUAUUAUAUUGUUAAUCAACUUCUGAAAAAGCCCUAAAUAACAUGUGAUUUAACGAGUGAUGUGGCCAUGAUGUCCGACUCUUGUUUGCUACGCUGUGAUUGGACCAUCGCAGUCUGGGGGCGGAACGUACCGAAGAGUCUAUCGGACAGAUACAUUUAUGUUCACUCCUUAGAUUAUAGCCCCCCUCCCUGGUUUUGAACAUCUUUUGUAGAUUAGCAGGUAACUUACUUUGUGUUACUUUGUACAGCACUUGAUCCGUUUUAUAAUUGACUAUGUCAUUAAAUUUUAACAUUUCUGAUUUUAGGAACAGAGGGCUGGUGUGAUCUCUGUAUCCAGCAUGAUUUAUGGUCCGGAUGACCUUUUUUUGUGUUUAUCUUUUGUAGAUUGGUCUUGUAUGUGUUUCCCCAGAUUUCAACACUGGGGAAAGGCAGGAUCAUGGAGCAGUAGAGUGUGCGUUGUGAUUUUUGUGGUAAUAAAUUAAUUUGCUGAUAGUUCCGAUACUGGUGAUUUUUUUUGGUAUCAGAAGAAGAAAGAGAGGAAAGAAAAAGAAAGAGGGGAGGCAGCUGUUGACUGCUUUCUUUCCCAAAGGUGAAUCCAGUUUGUUUGUUCUGUAAAGUCCAGUUAAAGUCAAGUAGGACUCUAAACUUCACAUCGCCGCUGCUCUCCCUGAAUUAUACAAGAGCUGAAUUUCCCCUCCCUCGUCUCUCACACAGCUCACUCCACUCUGCACACUCACUUCCUUGCUCUCUUCACUUCCUCUUUCCCUCCCCUUCAGAUCUACAGUUGUAACUAACGUGUGCUGAGCUGAUAUCCUGCUGAAACACAUGUUGUUGAGAUCAGAGCUCAGACUAGUUUCACUUCUCAGGAAAUAAAACUCAGUCAGUUGUUGUCAACAGCGAGUGUUGAAAUGGCGCAGAAGGGAGUUCUUCUGGACCGUGAGUCUUUCUCUUGUUCCAUCUGUUUGGAUCUUCUGAAGGAUCCGGUGACUGUUAACUGUGGACACAGCUUCUGCAUGAGCUGUAUUCAAUCCUACUGGGAUACUGAGGAUGAGAAGAAGAUCUACAGCUGUCCUCAGUGCAGACGGACCUUCAGACCGAGGCCUGUCCUGAUGAAAAACACCAUGUUAGCAGGUUUAGUGGAGGAAGUGAAGAAGAGUGGACUCCAAGCUGCUCCUGAUGAUCCCUCUGAGGCUGGACCUGAAGAUGUGGCCUGUGAUUCCUGCAGUGGGAGAAAACUGAAGGCUGUCAAGUCCUGUCUUCAAUGUCUGGUUUCUUACUGCCAGAUUCACCUCCAGCCUCAUUUUGAAUCACCUUCAUAUAAGAAACACAAGCUGGUGGAGCCCUCCAAGAACCUCCAGGAGAACAUCUGCUCUCGUCAUGAUGAGGUGAUGAAGAUCUUCUGCCGCACUGAUAAGAAGUCUAUCUGUCAUCUCUGCUGUUUGGACCAACACAAAGGUCACAACACAGUCUCAGCUGCGGCAGAAAGGACUGAGAGGCAGAAAGAUCUGGAGGAGAGUCGAGAAAACAUCCAGCAGAGAAUCCAGGACAGAGAAGAAGAUGUGAAGCUGCUCCAACAGGAGGUGGAGGCUAUCAACGGCUCUGCUGAUAAAGCUGUGGAGCACAGCCAGGAGAUCUUCAGCCAGCUGAUCCGUCUGAUGGAGAAACGCCGCUCUGACGUGGAGCAGCAGGUCAGAUCCCAGCAGGAACGUGAAGUGAGUCGAGUCAAAGAACUUCAGGAGAAACUGGAGCAGGAGAUCACUGAGCUGAAGAGGAAAGAUGCUGAUCUGCAGAAGCUCUCACUCACAGAGGACCACAACCAGUUUCUGCACAGCUACCCCUCACUGUCAGAACCGGGUCAACCUGCAGACUCACCCAGGAUCAACAUCCGUCCUCAGAGAUACUUUGAGGAGGUGACAGCAGCUGUGUCAGAGGUCAGAGAUAUACUCCAGGAUCUUCUGACAGAGACGUGGACAAACGUCUCACAGGCAGUGACUGAAGUGGAUGUUUUACUGUUAGAACCAGAACCAGAACCCAAGACCAGAGCUGGUUUCUUAAGAUAUUCACAAAGAAUCACACUGGAUCCAAACACAGCAGACAGACGACUGUUAUUAUCUGAUGGAAACAGAAGAGCAACAUUUACGAAACAGCUACAGUCUUAUCCUGAUCAUCCAGACAGAUUCACUUACUGUUCUCAGGUCCUGAGUAGAGAGAGUCUGACUGGACGUUGUUACUGGGAGGUGGACUGGAGAGGGAAUGGGGUUUAUGUAGCAGUCGCAUACGAGACGAUCAGCAGAGACGGGGACUCAGAUGAUUGUUUAUUUGGAGGAAAUGACAAAUCGUGGACAUUAUACUGUUCAAAAGAAAGUCAUGUAUUUGUUCACAACAAAGUCCUCACUGAUGUCUCAGGUCCUCAGUCCUCCAGAGUAGGAGUGUACCUGGAUCACAGAGCAGGUAUUCUGUCCUUCUACAGCGUCUCUGAAACCAUGACUCUCCUCCACAGAGUCCAGACCACAUUCACUGAACCUCUACAUGCUGGACUGUGGUUAGGCUGCAGUGAUGGAGACUCUGCUGAGUUUGUAGAAGUGAAAUAAAGAGAAUUUUGAGUCCAUCAGACCAAAAUCAUGGACUGAGAUCCUUGAACUCUUGAAAUGUUCUGGUUUGUAAAUGUUUGUGGAUCAGUCUCACCAAAAACUCUGGGUUUAGUUCUUCAUUUCAGCUUUUUGAUUCUUUUCUAAAGAUGCUGAUUUGGUCGCAGCUUUAAGGACAGUGAUUGUGGAGAACUUUGAUUGUUUGUAUUUCUCAAGUUGAAACAUCUUCAUUAAGUUUGAUAUCAACAACAUCAAGAUGAAUAUUUGUUCAUCAUCACAUGUGUUUGUAAAGACAUCUAGAGUCAGACUUUGGACAGAUCUACAUGUUGUUAUGAGCUUUUCAAUCACUCUAAUAAUAAUAAUCACAUUUAUUAGUCCGACUGUUUUUAUGUUUCUGACUCAGCUCAGAUUGUGGUCAAGUCUCUGAUUGUGGGUGAAAACAAUAAAAAUCAUCAAACUGAGUCACUGAAAUCACCUCGUCUGUUUUUCUUGAUGGUUUAGUGUAACGUCAGUGAGCCCAGACUGAAUGACCUGAGGGUUAGACAUUAUACUGCUUUCUUGUCUGUUGACUGCUUUCUUUCCCAAAGGUGAACCCAGUUUGUUUAUUCUGUCCAGUUAAGUCCAGUUAAAGUUAGCG
This 14545-nucleotide long non-coding RNA is filed under the name Xyrichtys novacula (pearly razorfish). Lineage: Eukaryota; Metazoa; Chordata; Actinopteri; Labriformes; Labridae. The record is from RNAcentral.